This 1391-nucleotide ribosomal RNA is filed under the name Weissella confusa. Its description in RNAcentral is "bacterial SSU rRNA". It matches the Rfam family "Bacterial small subunit ribosomal RNA", at positions 69 to 1431 of the family's 1533-position model. Lineage: Bacteria; Bacillati; Bacillota; Bacilli; Lactobacillales; Lactobacillaceae. The record is from RNAcentral.
UUUGAAGAGCUUGCUCAGAUAUGACGAUGGACAUUGCAAAGAGUGGCGAACGGGUGAGUAACACGUGGGAAACCUACCUCUUAGCAGGGGAUAACAUUUGGAAACAGAUGCUAAUACCGUAUAACAAUGACAACCGCAUGGUUGUUAUUUAAAAGAUGGUUCUGCUAUCACUAAGAGAUGGUCCCGCGGUGCAUUAGCUAGUUGGUAAGGUAAUGGCUUACCAAGGCGAUGAUGCAUAGCCGAGUUGAGAGACUGAUCGGCCACAAUGGGACUGAGACACGGCCCAUACUCCUACGGGAGGCAGCAGUAGGGAAUCUUCCACAAUGGGCGAAAGCCUGAUGGAGCAACGCCGCGUGUGUGAUGAAGGGUUUCGGCUCGUAAAACACUGUUGUAAGAGAAGAAUGACAUUGAGAGUAACUGUUCAAUGUGUGACGGUAUCUUACCAGAAAGGAACGGCUAAAUACGUGCCAGCAGCCGCGGUAAUACGUAUGUUCCAAGCGUUAUCCGGAUUUAUUGGGCGUAAAGCGAGCGCAGACGGUUAUUUAAGUCUGAAGUGAAAGCCCUCAGCUCAACUGAGGAAUUGCUUUGGAAACUGGAUGACUUGAGUGCAGUAGAGGAAAGUGGAACUCCAUGUGUAGCGGUGAAAUGCGUAGAUAUAUGGAAGAACACCAGUGGCGAAGGCGGCUUUCUGGACUGUAACUGACGUUGAGGCUCGAAAGUGUGGGUAGCAAACAGGAUUAGAUACCCUGGUAGUCCACACCGUAAACGAUGAGUGCUAGGUGUUUGAGGGUUUCCGCCCUUAAGUGCCGCAGCUAACGCAUUAAGCACUCCGCCUGGGGAGUACGACCGCAAGGUUGAAACUCAAAGGAAUUGACGGGGGACCCGCACAAGCGGUGGAGCAUGUGGUUUAAUUCGAAGCAACGCGAAGAACCUUACCAGGUCUUGACAUCCCUUGACAACUCCAGAGAUGGAGCGUUCCCUUCGGGGACAAGGUGACAGGUGGUGCAUGGUUGUCGUCAGCUCGUGUCGUGAGAUGUUGGGUUAAGUCCCGCAACGAGCGCAACCCUUAUUACUAGUUGCCAGCAUUCAGUUGGGCACUCUAGUGAGACUGCCGGUGACAAACCGGAGGAAGGUGGGGAUGACGUCAAAUCAUCAUGCCCCUUAUGACCUGGGCUACACACGUGCUACAAUGGCGUAUACAACGAGUUGCCAACCCGCGAGGGUGAGCUAAUCUCUUAAAGUACGUCUCAGUUCGGAUUGUAGGCUGCAACUCGCCUACAUGAAGUCGGAAUCGCUAGUAAUCGCGGAUCAGCACGCCGCGGUGAAUACGUUCCCGGGUCUUGUACACACCGCCCGUCACACCAUGAGAGUUUGUAACACCCAAAGCCGGU